AUUGAACGCUGGCGGCAGGCCUAACACAUGCAAGUCGAGCGGCAGAACGGUACUUGCUUCUGGUUUCGGGGGCCGACGGGCGGGUAAUGCCUAAGUAUCUGCCUGUUUAUUUUUUAUAACGUCCUGAAACGGGCGCUCUUACCCCAUACGCCCUGAGGGCCUACGGGUGAGAUCAUCGGACCUUACGCCAUCGGAUGAGCCUAGGUCCGAUUGGCUAGUUGGUGGGUUAAAGGCCUACCGACGCGCCGAUCCGUCACUGGUCUGAGAGUAUGAGCAGACACUGUGGAACUGAGACACGGUCCAGACUCAUACGGGAGGCAGCAGUGGGGAAUAUUGGACAAGGGGCGAACGCCUGAUACAGCCAUGGCGCGUGUGAAGAAGGUCUUCGGAUUGUAAAGCACUUUAAGUGGGGAGGAAGGGCAGUAAGUUAAUACCUUGCUGUUUUGACGGUACCAAAAGAAUAAGCACCGGCUAACUUCGUG
RNAcentral lists this ribosomal RNA (482 nucleotides) under uncultured bacterium. Its description in RNAcentral is "partial 16S ribosomal RNA". It matches the Rfam family "Bacterial small subunit ribosomal RNA", at positions 30 to 507 of the family's 1533-position model. The record is from RNAcentral.